UGCGCCGGCUCGUCCCGGGCGCACGGGGCUCCUGGGAGCCGUGUCCGGGCGGGCAUCGGCACAGGCCCAAGGUGGAGAUGACGUAUGGAAUGAGGCUUGGCAACUGUGCUCCUUGUGGAGUGUGUCGGCUUGGUGUGGUGUGACCCCGGGCUGCUGUCGGGCAGCGGGUUCUCAAACCCCUUUAAGCGGUUUAGCUUAAAGUAUGAAGAUGGAAGCCUGAUGCCUGGAUGCUGGAAGUUCUUCUGUUGGUGCCACCAAAGAGCAGGCAUAUGAGAGGCUUAGAACUGCUCAGGAACUUUGGAUAGACAGAUACCUCAUUUGGAUUGUCUUGGAUUGGGCAUCUUGAUAUAAAAUCAGAUUAGUGCUAAUAUUUCUGCCUAACGAGAAAAGGAAAAGAGAACUGCAGCAAAAACACUCUGAGUGAAGAGUCAAAAAGUCACUCAAGUGAAGACUUACUGCCCAAUAAGUGAAGCUGAGUUAGGAAGUCUGGAGAAGACUGGAGUGAUAAUUAUGGGCUUGCUUCUCUUUCCUGUUGGGAGUGCCUCCAUGACAUUUCUUAUUGAAGAAUGGCAGAGGAAUUUUGCAGGAAAGGAAGAUUACUUUUAUUAGGAAAAACUGUGCCUGUCAGAAAAGGGAAAAUUCUACUGGGUCCAAGGUUAUGAAAAGGCUGUAUCAGUUUCAGCUCUGCAG
Molecule: long non-coding RNA, 690 nt
Organism: Vidua chalybeata
Lineage: Eukaryota; Metazoa; Chordata; Aves; Passeriformes; Viduidae
Exons: 4
Source: RefSeq, a predicted model, not a curated record